Molecule: ribosomal RNA, 252 nt
Filed under: uncultured bacterium
Lineage: Bacteria
Description: partial 16S ribosomal RNA
Rfam family: Bacterial small subunit ribosomal RNA
Source: RNAcentral
UACGUAGGUCCCGAGCGUUGUCCGGAUUUAUUGGGCGUAAAGCGAGCGCAGGUGGUUUAUUAAGUCUGGUGUAAAAGGCAGUGGCUCAACCAUUGUAUGCAUUGGAAACUGGUAGACUUGAGUGCAGGAGAGGAGAGUGGAAUUCCAUGUGUAGCGGUGAAAUGCGUAGAUAUAUGGAGGAACACCGGUGGCGAAAGCGGCUCUCUGGCCUCUAACUGACACUGAGGCUCGAAAGCGUGGGGAGCAAACAGG